AAAAGGAUUACAAAUCUAAUAAUAACAGAGAAGAUUCUAAGAAUCUGCACACAUUUGCAUAAAGGGAUUACUAGAUCAGAAAAUCUAGAUGUCUCCCUGCAUAUUUUAAGCAAAAAUGGUACAGCCCUGUUCUUUCCUCCUUGUACUGAUUCCUGGACUAACAGUCUCACAAACUGAGCUGGAAGUGUGAAAGUGUGCUACAGAUUAUCUUGAUAUCGGACUACAAUCAGUGAUGACAGACAGCAAGAGUAUCCAUUCCAGUAAUAUCUCCACUGUCCAUAACAUUCCAAUGCGUGUGCUUAUCAGACCUAUCCCAUCAAUCCUAGAAGAGGGCAAGGUGGAAAGCCUAAUGGAGACGAUACAGAAUGAUGCAGACUCUGUGCCUCCAAUCGACGUUCUCUGGAUCAAGGGUCAGAAAGGAGGAGACUACUUUUAUUCUUUUGGUGGGUGCCAUCGUUACGCAGCGCAUCAGCGGUUAAACAAAGAAACCAUCCCUGCCAAAAUCAUUCAGUCCUCUAUCAGAGAUUUACGCACGUACUUGGGAUCCAGUACACCAGAUCUACAAUAAUAUUAAUAGGCCCAAGAGAUGGAUCGGAAGCUGAAAAAAAAAAGCAUUAAAAGUGGAGGUCUGGAUUUACUUAUUCUCGCAAACUUGGAAGCUGCAACAAAACUGUAUCUGUACCAAAUCUGCACAGAGAACUAAAAUAUAAUUGAUCCCAAAAAACAUAUCCAGCGAUAUUGUAAACAGUCCAAAAACAUUCAGUAGAGUUUGGGGCCUCUAUUGUAUGCCAAAGAUUUACUUACUUUAAGGUCUAAAAAUAAAGUUUGCUCUUGAAUUCCUUCCAUCUUUUUCACUCUACCUACCUACCUCAACUUUUACACUUUUUUGUAUUGAUAUGUUUCUACAUUUAGCAAUUGUAUACAUUUAAAUAUUGUCUUUCUCAGAUGCCUUUACAAAGCAAUGAUUGUUCAUUUAUUUGCACUGGAACACAUUCCUGAAAUAGUAUAUUCUGCAUUAAGUAACAGAUCUUAAAAUGAGCCUCUUCGUGAAGAGGGAAUACACAUUUUAUUGUAAAAUAAAUGU
This is an RNA transcript of Pelobates fuscus (common spadefoot toad), 1084 nucleotides long. It is a transcript of the gene named sulfiredoxin 1, with no coding region annotated. The transcript has 3 exons. NCBI's taxonomy places the organism in Eukaryota, Metazoa, Chordata, Amphibia, Anura, Pelobatidae. The record is from RefSeq and is a predicted model, not a curated record.